UAUGUACGAGCUGAUGUAGAAUU
RNAcentral lists this non-coding RNA (23 nucleotides) under Cricetulus griseus (Chinese hamster). Lineage: Eukaryota; Metazoa; Chordata; Mammalia; Rodentia; Cricetidae. The record is from RNAcentral.